Molecule: non-coding RNA, 2256 nt
Organism: Nothobranchius furzeri (turquoise killifish)
Lineage: Eukaryota; Metazoa; Chordata; Actinopteri; Cyprinodontiformes; Nothobranchiidae
Source: RefSeq, a predicted model, not a curated record
CUGAUGACGUAAUCACGUCCGCAGCUUAGCAGCAGAAACGUCGGCGUAAACAAAACCAUCAGCUAGGAGCUAAAUGUGCGAUGCUUGGUGGGUAAAAUGGUAAAACGGGAGUAUUUGGUGGCACGUGAACAUUUUAUUAUCAUUAUCGGUGAGUGAAACUAUUAUUAUACCGUCGACAGACUCACUGGAGACUGAAACUAAGCAGCUAGAUUAGCCUCAGCUAACGGUAGGUAACGGGAUUCAUGCUACAGCUGAUCCUGUAUCGACCCGACAUCGGUUAUUGGUUCUGGUGGUCUGUGUGAAAUCUGCGUGUUAGCCUGAGGAGUUAGCUGGACACCAUGUAGCAGCGCGGGGAUCUGGAUCAGAUGCGCUCCUGGACCGCGGACUGAGAUGUUCAGCCUGAUGGCGAACUGCUGCGCCUGGCUGAAGCGCUGGCGAGAGCCCGCCAGGAAAGUGACUCUAGUGAUGGUGGGCCUGGAUAAUGCAGGAAAAACAGCCACAGUCAGAGGAAUCCAGGGAGAAAGCCCUCAGAACAUAGCUCCUACUGUGGGCUUCUCCAGAGUCGACCUGAAACGGGGAAAGUUUGAGGUGACCAUCUUUGACCUGGGCGGUGGGAAGAGAAUCCGUGGCAUCUGGAAGAACUACUACUCAGAGUCGUACGGCGUGGUGUUUGUGGUGGACUCCACUGACGUCCAGCGCAUCCAGGAGACACGGGAAACCAUGGCGGAGGUCCUCCAGCACCCACGCAUUGCUGGAAAACCUGUCCUAGUACUUGCAAACAAACAGGACCAGGAGGGGGCGCUAGCUGAAGCAGACCUCAUCGAGAACCUGUCCUUAGAGAAGCUGGUCAAUGACAACAAGUGUCUCUGUCAAAUCGAGCCCUGCUCGGCUGUUCUAGGCUACGGCAAAAAGGUGGACAAGUCCAUCAAGAAGGGCCUGAGCUGGCUGCUCAACAACAUCGCCAAAGACUACGAGGCCAUCGCUGAGCGUGUGCAGAAGGACACGGCCGAGCAGCGCGGCCUGGAGGAGCAGGACAAGAAGGAGCGGGCGGAGAGAGUCCGUAGGAUACGGGAGGAGAGAGAGCGGCAGGAGCGUGAAGAAGCAGAACGGGAGGGCAGAGCAGACCAAUCAGAAGGAGGAGAUGAGGAAAACAUCCAGAACCUCUUCCAACCCAUAGGACUUGUGGAUUCUAAGAAUGAGGAACAAGAGCAGGAGAAGAAGAGGCAAGAGGGCCUGAGGGGGGAGUCGGAGCAGGAGGAGGAGGACAACAAGGAGGAAGCAGGAAACUCAGCUCCCUUGUUGUUUCCAUGGUGGGAGAAGGUUUUAUGGACCUCUAAAAGUCUCCGUGUCCUCCAGCAGCAGUUGAACCAAGCAAAAAGAAGAGCAGCAAGCUGCAGCUGAAGAGGAAGCACAGGGUGGACCCUCUGAGGACAGAAGACCCAGCAGAGAGUCCCACGCCACCGCCUCCUCCAGUGGGAUGGGCCACGCCCAAGCUGUCUAGACAUCCCAAACUAGAGCCACUCGGCGACUCGAAGCACUCGGAAUUUCACAAGAAGCCCCUCCCACCUCUGGCCAAUAAGCCGCAGCCUAACGGCGACACUCAGGACGUCAUUUUUUAGUUCAGCUUCCAGGUCAGUCCCCCUCCACCAAUCACGGCUCUCCUGUGCUUUCUGUCUCAAGCCAGUGGCGUGUAGACACUUGGACUGAUGGUGGAACAGCCAGUGGAGGGGACGGUGCCGAGCGACGAGGACGGCGCCGAGCGGCGACACAAGGAAACUGGAUUAGACUUAACAUAUUAAAACACACUGAUGCAACUCAGUGUCGAGCUGCUAGGUUGUGUUUCUGCUCCAGAUCAGAAGGACCUUUAGUGCUGAGCUCUUUAUUUUACUGCUAGUGUCAGUAUUAGAUCAGAUGCUUUGUUUAUGGGUCUGUUUGUGUUAAAUGAUGCAUGCGGUUCUGCUCCUACAGCAGCCUGGCCCACGGCUGAACACCACCCUCGUGCUGCAUCAGCCAGGCUGAUGUAGUGAAAAAGCUGUCAUGUGUUAGAUGUGAUGUCACGCCUUGUGUCAGCUGCACAACUAAUCCCGCCCUCCUCACAAACGCACACACAAACCGGGCUGUGGGUCGACUGCAUCUGCGUUCCUACGCUGGCUCCUGUACCUUCUGAUUGGCGCUUGUUAAUGACCCAGAUGUUUUAAAUAAACUUUUCUAUUCACGUGACUUUUAUAACGGCACGAUUAAAGAUGUUUAAAUAUA